CCUACGGGUGGCAGCAGUGGGGAAUAUUGGGCAAUGGAGGCAACUCUGACCCAGCAACGCCGCGUGAAUGAUGAAGGUCUUCGGAUUGUAAAGUUCUUUUCUAAGGGAAGAAGAAAGUGACGGUACCUUAGGAAUAAGCCUCGGCUAACUACGUGCCAGCAGCCGCGGUAAUACGUAGGAGGCAAGCGUUAUCCGGAAUGACUGGGCGUAAAGGGUGCGUAGGUGGUUUGACAAGUUGGUAGCGUAACUCCGGAGCUCAACUUCGGAACUACUACCAAAACUGUUGGACUCGAGUGCAGGAGGGGCAACUGGAAUUUCUAGUGUAGCGGUGGAAUGCAUAGAUAUCACGCAGAACUCCGAUUGCGAAGGCAGCAUACCGGCGCUCAACUGACGCUGAGGCACGAAAGCGUGGGGAUCGAACAGGAUUAGAUACCCGUGUAGUC
Molecule: ribosomal RNA, 443 nt
Filed under: uncultured bacterium
Lineage: Bacteria
Description: partial 16S ribosomal RNA
Rfam family: Bacterial small subunit ribosomal RNA
Source: RNAcentral